AAACAUGCCGCGUGUUUUUUUUUUGUUUUUUUCAGUUUGGUUUUGGUUUUUUCUUUUUCUUCUU
Molecule: non-coding RNA, 64 nt
Filed under: Rhodomonas sp. CCMP768
Lineage: Eukaryota; Cryptophyceae; Pyrenomonadales; Pyrenomonadaceae
Source: RNAcentral